RNAcentral lists this long non-coding RNA (205 nucleotides) under Medicago truncatula (barrel medic). Its description in RNAcentral is "lncRNA gene32829". Lineage: Eukaryota; Viridiplantae; Streptophyta; Magnoliopsida; Fabales; Fabaceae. The record is from RNAcentral.
UUCCAAUAUUCUUCUACUCAUUCCCACACAUUUCAUUCAUUCAUGCAACUAUAACCCUCUCUCCCUCACUUAAACUUCCUCAACCAGUUUCUAGGAUUUCACCAUGCAGUACUGUUUCAUACAAGAAAUGGCCACAAUGUUCUUCUCUAUCAUGGCACCUCAAGAUGAUGGUUACAAUAUUCAAGAACAAAGGGAAGUGUGGUGA